RNAcentral lists this long non-coding RNA (2359 nucleotides) under Taeniopygia guttata (zebra finch). RNAcentral describes it as "lncRNA (ENSTGUG00000020069.1)". The record is from RNAcentral. Lineage: Eukaryota; Metazoa; Chordata; Aves; Passeriformes; Estrildidae.
AUGUUCCUCCUCAAUUCCCUUCGUGUGUUUUCCUCCAUUUUUCUCCUCAGUUCCCUUGGUGUUUUCUUCACUGUUCCUCCUCAGUUCCUCACUGUGUUUUCCACCAUUUUUCUCAGUUCCUCAGUGUGUUUUUCCUCAAUGUUCCUCCUCAAUUCCCUCAGUGUGUUUCUCCUCCAUUUUUCUCCUCAGUUCCCUCGGUGUGGUUUCCUCAAUGUUCCUCCUCAGUUCCUCACUGUGUUUUCCACCAUCUUUCUCAGUUCCUCGGUGUGUUUUUCCUCAAUGUUCCUCCUCAAUUCCCUCGGUGUGUUUUUCUCCAUUUUUCUCUUCAAUUCCCUCGGUGUGGUUUCCUCAAUGUUCCUCCUCAGUUCCUCAGUGUGUUUUCCACCAUUUUUCUCAGUUCCUCGGUGUAUUUUUCCUCUAUUUGUCUCCUCAGUUUCCUCAGUGUGUUUCUCCUCCAUUUUUCUCCUCAGUUUCCUCUGUGUGUUUCUCCUCCAUUUUUCUCCUCAGUUUCCUCGGUGUGUUUUCCUCAAUGUUCCUCCUCAGUUCGCUUGGUGUUUUCCUCAAUGUUCCUCCUCAAUUCCCUUCGUGUGUUUUUCUCCAUUUUUCUCCUCAGUUCCCUUGGUGUUUUCUUCAAUGUUCCUCCUCAAUUCCCUCAGCGUGUUUUCAUCAAUGUUCCUCCUCAGUUCCUCACUGUGUUUUCCACCAUUUUUCUCAGUUCCUCGGUGUGUUUUUCCUCAAUGUUCCUCUUCAAUUCCCUUGGUGUGUUUUUCUCCAUUUUUCUCCUCAAUUCCCUCGGUGCUUUUCUCAAUGUUCCUCCUCAGUUCCUUGGUGUGUUUCCCUCCAUUUUUCUCAGUUCCCCUGUUGUUUCCCAUCCCUUUCCCAGGUGCUGGAGCCCUCCCCGCGCUCGGAGCUGGCCGUGCCGGUGGUUCCAGUGCCGGUGCCGGAGGCAGCGGGCCCGGGCUGCCCGCAGGGCGGCAGGGUGGCGGCGGGCCAUGCCCAGGACCUGCUGCAGCAGUGCCUGUGUGCCGCGGGCAUCACCGAGCAGCUGCUGGAGGCCGAGGCCAAGCAGGACACAGGCGGCUUCCAGCCCUCUGCGCCUUCCCGCAGCGCCCUGCCGAUCAACCAGCCGGGCCCGGGCCGGCAGCCGCUCCUGCUGCCCUUCCUGCAGCACCCCGGGCCCUUCUCCAGCUGGCAGCUGGGCCAGGGGCCUGCUCAGCCCGGGGGACAGCAGGUGAUGGCCACUGCCCUGCCAGCGCCGCAGGUCGCGCUCCUGCAGCAGGUGCCGCAGGGGAUCAUCCUGCAGGUGAAGCAGCAAGGCCCCACCACCCUCGCCUUGCUCCCCAGUCCAGCCUCCUGUGUCCUGGGGAGUGGCCAGGGGCUGAGGCCACCAGCCCACAGACCCACUGGCCACCCCCAUUCUGUCACACUGUCACCCUGUGGCCACCAGCACCCUGGAGCAGCAGCGCCCCAGCACAGCAGCAUCCCCACACCCAACGCUGUGGGAAUUGAGCAAAAUUUCUGGUGCCUGGAGCCAAAAUGGGAGAAAUUGUACUCUUUUGUUCCUUAUUUUUAAUAAAACUCUUGAUGGAACUUGCCGUAAGAAUCCACAGUGAGAUUAUUUACUGUUAAGGCUUGAGUUUAAACACAUCCUUGAGUUAAAACACAUCCAAAACUUGUUUCAUGUUUGCAAAGUAUCAUCACCCUGGUCCCUGAGGAGAGGAAUCCAGCAUUUCUGUCCCCAUUUCUGUUGGGAAGUCAGGAGGUCCUCGUGGCAUCCAUCAGCCCCUUCAGGAGAGGAGCUGGCUUUCCUGGCAGUGUUCUUUGCUUCUGAGUUUUUCCACUUUGUUCCCAAGGUUUUCUACUUUCUUUUCCCUACAAUGUUUUUUGCCCAAUUCUCUCCUCCUUAGCAGUUUUGUCCUUCAUUUUCCAUUUUUUUCCUCUCUAAUUCCCAUUUCCCCCUUUAUUUGCAAAUUUUACACCUUUUUUCCCAGCUUUACCCCUUAUUUUCUAGUGUUCUACUUUCUUAGCUUUCCCUUUUUUAUUUCCAAUUCCUCCACUUAAUUUCCAAGAUUUUCCACUUUUUAUCUCCAAGGUUCCUUUUAUUUCUGGGUUUUUUUUUUUUUUUCUCUUUCAAGUUUCCACCCUUCAUUUCCAUAUUUCUCCACUUUGUCUCUUAGGUUUUCUGCCCCCUUUCCAAGAUUUUCCCCUUCAUUUCUCAGUUUUUCCCUUGAUUUUCAGAUUUUUUUUUUCACAUGAAAGCCUAGGAGAAACGCUGGGACUUCUCUUUGCACAGUCAGUGGGUGACAGAGCAGAGGAGGAGGAAUUUGAAAAGAGAGACAGAGUACAGGAUAAAGAUGGU